This 231-nucleotide long non-coding RNA is filed under the name Mytilus galloprovincialis (Mediterranean mussel). Lineage: Eukaryota; Metazoa; Mollusca; Bivalvia; Mytilida; Mytilidae. The record is from RNAcentral.
AAACACUUUAAAAACCGCUUGCUUCAAAAACACAACGCUUUCAACUCAACUAGGUUUAGAAACUUCUGAAUUCUAACUUCUUUAUUUACUGGUAUUUUCUUCCCGAUAUUUAAUCAUCAACGACCAAAUAACAAAUGAGCCACUUGCACUAUGAAUCGGUGUCUUUAUAUACCAAGAGCGCGGACCUCGAAGAGAGCACCCUAGCAACAAUUAACGCGUCUCAUAACAACC